GACGAACGCUGGCGGCGUGCUUAACACAUGCAAGUCGAACGGAAAGGCCCUGCUUUUGUGGGGUGCUCGAGUGGCGAACGGGUGAGUAACACGUGAGUAACCUGCCCUUGACUUUGGGAUAACUUCAGGAAACUGGGGCUAAUACCGGAUAGGAGCUCCUGCUGCAUGGUGGGGGUUGGAAAGUUUCGGCGGUUGGGGAUGGACUCGCGGGUUAUCAGCUUGUUGGUGGGGUAGUGGCUUACCAAGGCUUUGACGGGUAGCCGGCCUGAGAGGGUGACCGGCCACAUUGGGACUGAGAUACGGCCCAGACUCCUACGGGAGGCAGCAGUGGGGAAUAUUGCACAAUGGGCGGAAGCCUGAUGCAGCAACGCCGCGUGCGGGAUGACGGCCUUCGGGUUGUAAACCGCUUUCGCCUGUGACGAGGCGUGAGUGACGGUAAUGGGUAAAGAAGCACCGGCUAACUACGUG
RNAcentral lists this ribosomal RNA (468 nucleotides) under uncultured bacterium. RNAcentral describes it as "partial 16S ribosomal RNA". It matches the Rfam family "Bacterial small subunit ribosomal RNA", at positions 28 to 507 of the family's 1533-position model. The record is from RNAcentral.